RNAcentral lists this long non-coding RNA (544 nucleotides) under Setaria viridis. RNAcentral describes it as "long non-coding RNA (SVIR_LNC005259)". Lineage: Eukaryota; Viridiplantae; Streptophyta; Magnoliopsida; Poales; Poaceae. The record is from RNAcentral.
UGGGGGCUGAAGGAGCAUUGGCACUGAGAUUUGGACAAUUCGAUGGUGAAGCAUAAAUAAAGGGACAACCACUAUAACUCAUCGUGGAGCAUAUGCAUGCACGUGACUUACUUGGGCAGCCAAUACAAGUGUGCUGUUGUGUGGGCAGCCGAUGGUUCAGGCAAUUGUGAAUUGGCUGCGCAGGUAGAAAAAGAAGCUGCUCUAGAAAUAAAAAAUACAAUGGCGGUCGAUAUAAAAGAGAUAAUUGAUUUCUAGGUUACAUGAAGCUUGCUUUGGAGCUAAUGAUUAUCUCUUUAAUGAGGACAAUGGCUCAAACCGUCGACGAUUUUCGACAACCAUCGAAAAUUUCCAGCGACCAUUGGUGAUUCGCUUGCUAAUCACUUCAAAUCCCAAAUCAAUUCCAUGGCCACCCUUACUGUCGUUCCCGAGGUACACCUCUCUACCUUCAUCAUCUUCCCCGUACCUUUUACCUUCCUUUCCUCACAUAGCCAUUUUCGCAUUUCUUAGGUCCUCAAAGACAGAAUCACCAUCCCCAUAACUGAUA